RNAcentral lists this ribosomal RNA (425 nucleotides) under Leptodactylus mystaceus group sp. ABGD cluster 49. RNAcentral describes it as "partial large subunit ribosomal RNA". It matches the Rfam family "Bacterial large subunit ribosomal RNA", at positions 1822 to 2457 of the family's 2925-position model. Lineage: Eukaryota; Metazoa; Chordata; Amphibia; Anura; Leptodactylidae. The record is from RNAcentral.
CUUGACAAACCUAUAAGAGGUCCAGCCUGCCCAGUGACUCUGUUCAACGGCCGCGGUAUCCUAACCGUGCGAAGGUAGCGUAAUCACUUGUUCUUUAAAUGAGGACUAGUAUGAAUGGCACCACGAAGGUUAUACUGUCUCCUUUUUCUAAUCAGUGAAACUAAUCUUCCCGUGAAGAAACGGGAAUAAAAAUAUAAGACGAGAAGACCCUAUGGAGCUUUAAACAAAUAUACACCUGCCUCUUUACCAAAAAUUUCAGAAGACAAGUAAUUACCCGGGCAUUUUGAUAUAGCGUUUUAGGUUGGGGUGACCGCGGAGCAAAAAAUAACCUCCGCAGCGAACGGGAGUAUUCCCUAAACCAAGGGCCACAACCCUAAGUAUUAAUAAAUUAACACUAAUUGACCCAAUAAAUUUGAUCAAUGGAC